This 878-nucleotide ribosomal RNA is filed under the name uncultured bacterium. RNAcentral's name for it is "bacterial SSU rRNA". It matches the Rfam family "Bacterial small subunit ribosomal RNA", at positions 8 to 886 of the family's 1533-position model. The record is from RNAcentral.
AGAGUUUGAUCCUGGCUCAGGAUGAACGCUGGCGGCGUGCUUAACACAUGCAAGUCGAGCGAAGCACCUAAGAAAGAUUCUUCGGAUGAAUUCUUUUGUGACUGAGCGGCGGACGGGUGAGUAACGCGUGGGUAACCUGCCUCAUACAGGGGGAUAACAGUUAGAAAUGACUGCUAAUACCGCAUAAGACCACGGUACCGCAUGGUACAGUGGUAAAAACUCCGGUGGUAUGAGAUAGACCCGCGUCUGAUUAGCUGGUUGGUGGGGUAACGGCCUACCAAGGCGACGAUCAGUAGCCGACCUGAGAGGGUGACCGGCCACAUUGGGACUGAGACACGGCCCAAACUCCUACGGGAGGCAGCAGUGGGGAAUAUUGCACAAUGGGGGAAACCCUGAUGCAGCGACGCCGCGUGAAGGAUGAAGUAUUUCGGUAUGUAAACUUCUAUCAGCAGGGAAGAAAAUGACGGUACCUGACUAAGAAGCCCCGGCUAACUACGUGCCAGCAGCCGCGGUAAUACGUAGGGGACAAGCGUUAUCCGGAUUUACUGGGUGUAAAGGGAGCGUAGACGGCAUUGCAAGCCAGAUGUGAAAGCCCGGGGCUCAACCCCGGGACUGCAUUUGGAACUGUAGAGCUAGAGUGUCGGAGAGGCAAGUGGAAUUCCUAGUGUAGCGGUGAAAUGCGUAGAUAUUAGGAGGAACACCAGUGGCGAAGGCGGCUUGCUGGACGAUGACUGACGUUGAGGCUCGAAAGCGUGGGGAGCAAACAGGAUUAGAUACCCUGGUAGUCCACGCCGUAAACGAUGACUACUAGGUGUCGGGUAGCAAAGCUAUUCGGUGCCGCAGCAAACGCAAUAAGUAGUCCACCUGGGGAGUACGUU